UACGAAGGGGGCAAGCGUUGUUCGGAAUUACUGGGCGUAAAGGGCGCGUAGGCGGUGCACUAAGUCAGGCGUGAAAGCCCUGGGCUCAACCCGGGAAUUGCGCUUGAUACUGGUGCGCUUGAAUCCAGGAGAGGUUGGUGGAAUUCCCAGUGUAGAGGUGAAAUUCGUAGAGGAUUGGGAAGAACACCGGUGGCGAAGGCGGCCAACU
RNAcentral lists this ribosomal RNA (208 nucleotides) under uncultured bacterium. Its description in RNAcentral is "partial 16S ribosomal RNA". It matches the Rfam family "Bacterial small subunit ribosomal RNA", at positions 524 to 730 of the family's 1533-position model. The record is from RNAcentral.